CGAUGAUGCCCACUUGUGGGUGGAUUAGUGGCGAACGGGUGAGUAACACGUGAGUAACCUGCCCUUAACUCUGGGAUAAGCCUGGGAAACUGGGUCUAAUACCGGAUAUGACUCCUCAUCGCAUGGUGGGGGGUGGAAAGCUUUAUUGUGGUUUUGGAUGGACUCGCGGCCUAUCAGCUUGUUGGUGAGGUAAUGGCUUACCAAGGCGACGACGGGUAGCCGGCCUGAGAGGGUGACCGGCCACACUGGGACUGAGACACGGCCCAGACUCCUACGGGAGGCAGCAGUGGGGAAUAUUGCACAAUGGGCGCAAGCCUGAUGCAGCGACGCCGCGUGAGGGAUGACGGCCUUCGGGUUGUAAACCUCUUUCAGUAGGGAAGAAGCGAAAGUGACGGUACCUGCAGAAGAAGCGCCGGCUAACUACGUGCCA
Molecule: ribosomal RNA, 430 nt
Filed under: Arthrobacter sp.
Lineage: Bacteria; Bacillati; Actinomycetota; Actinomycetes; Micrococcales; Micrococcaceae
Description: bacterial SSU rRNA
Rfam family: Bacterial small subunit ribosomal RNA
Source: RNAcentral